GCGCAAGCCUGAUCCAGCCAUGCCGCGUGUCUGAAGAAGGCCUUCGGGUUGUAAAGGACUUUUGUCAGGGAGCAAAACUUACUGGUUAAUACCUGGUGAGGUUGUAGAGUACCUGAAGAAUAAGCACCGGCUAACUACGUGCCAGCAGCCGCGGUAAUACGUAGGGUGCAAGCGUUAAUCGGAAUUACUGGGCGUAAAGCGUGCGCAGGCGGACUUUUAAGCCAGAUGUGAAAGCCCCGAGCUUAAACUUGGGAAUUGCGUUUGGAACUGGGAGUCUAGAGUCUGUCAGAGGGGGAUGGAAUUCCACGUGUAGCAGUGAAAUGCGUAGAGAUGUGGAGGAACACCGAUGGCGAAGGCAGUCCCCUGGGAUAAGACUGACGCUCAUGCACGAAAGCGUGGGGAG
This 403-nucleotide ribosomal RNA is filed under the name uncultured bacterium. Its description in RNAcentral is "bacterial SSU rRNA". It matches the Rfam family "Bacterial small subunit ribosomal RNA", at positions 375 to 768 of the family's 1533-position model. The record is from RNAcentral.